This 252-nucleotide ribosomal RNA is filed under the name uncultured bacterium. RNAcentral's name for it is "partial 16S ribosomal RNA". It matches the Rfam family "Bacterial small subunit ribosomal RNA", at positions 57 to 305 of the family's 1533-position model. The record is from RNAcentral.
GCAAGUCGAGCGGUAACAGAGAGUAGCUUGCUACUUUGCUGACGAGCGGCGGACGGGUGAGUAACGCUUGUGAAUCUGCCUUUAGGUGGGGGACAACAGUUGGAAACGACUGCUAAUACCGCAUAAUGUCUACGGACCAAAGAGGGGGACCUUCGGGCCUCUUGCCUUUAGAUUAGCCCAAGUGCGAUUAGCUAGAUGGUAAGGUAAUGGCUUACCAUGGCGACGAUCUCUAGCUGGUUUGAGAGGAUGAUC